This is a long non-coding RNA of Pistacia vera, 199 nucleotides long. RefSeq lists it as uncharacterized. The transcript is spliced from 3 exons. Lineage: Eukaryota; Viridiplantae; Streptophyta; Magnoliopsida; Sapindales; Anacardiaceae. The record is from RefSeq and is a predicted model, not a curated record.
CAUGAGUUCUUAAAGCUAGAAAAUGAAUUGGGAACAUAACCAGACAAGAGGCUGUUAGCAUGGUACCUCCCCUCUUCUUGGAUGUACAGCCAGAUCAUUUUAUACUUGAUAUGUGCGCAGCACCAGGUUCAAAAACAUUCCAAUUGCUAGAGAUUAUUCAUCAAUCCGCAAAACCUGGAUCACUACCUGAUGGAAUGGU